UUGAACGCUGGCGGCAUGCUUUACACAUGCACGUCGAACGGUAACAGGCCGCAAGGUGCUGACGAGUGGCGAACGGGUGAGUAAUGCAUCGGAACAUGCCCAGUCGUGGGGGAUAACUACUCGAAAGAGUAGCUAAUACCGCAUACGAUCUAUGGAUGAAAGCGGGGGACCGUAAGGCCUCGCGCGAUUGGAGCGGCCGAUGUCAGAUUAGGUAGUUGGUGGGGUAAAGGCUCACCAAGCCAACGAUCUGUAGCUGGUCUGAGAGGACGACCAGCCACACUGGGACUGAGACACGGCCCAGACUCCUACGGGAGGCAGCAGUGGGGAAUUUUGGACAAUGGGCGCAAGCCUGAUCCAGCAAUGCCGCGUGCAGGAAGAAGGCCUUCGGGUUGUAAACUGCUUUUGUACGGAACGAAACGGCUCUGGUUAAUACCCGGGGCUAAUGACGGUACCGUAAGAAUAAGCACCGGCUAACUACGUG
RNAcentral lists this ribosomal RNA (481 nucleotides) under uncultured bacterium. RNAcentral's name for it is "partial 16S ribosomal RNA". It matches the Rfam family "Bacterial small subunit ribosomal RNA", at positions 30 to 507 of the family's 1533-position model. The record is from RNAcentral.